RNAcentral lists this ribosomal RNA (460 nucleotides) under uncultured bacterium. Its description in RNAcentral is "partial 16S ribosomal RNA". It matches the Rfam family "Bacterial small subunit ribosomal RNA", at positions 338 to 795 of the family's 1533-position model. The record is from RNAcentral.
CCUACGGGUGGCAGCAGUGAGGAAUCUUGGUCAAUGGGCGAAACCCUGAACCAGCCAAGUAGCGUGCAGGAUGACGGCUCUAUGGUUUGUAAACUUCUUUUAUGUGGGAAUAAAGUGAGGCACGUGUUCCUUUUUGUAUGUACCGUAUGAAUAAGCAUCGGCUAAUUCCGUGCCAGCAGCCGCGGUAAUACGGAGGAUGCGAGCGUUAUCCGGAUUUAUUGGGUUUAAAGGGUGCGUAGGUGGUUAAUUAAGUGAGCGGUGAAAUUUUGUGGCUCAACCAUCACAUUGCCGUUCAAACUGGUUGACUUGAGUAUACCUGAGGUAGGCGGAAUGCGUGGUGUAGCGGUGAAAUGCAUAGAUAUCACGAAGAACUCCGAUUGCGAAGGCAGCUUACUAUACUAUAACUGACACUGAAGCUCGAAAGUGCGGGGAUCAAACAGGAUUAGAUACCCUGGUAGUC